RNAcentral lists this ribosomal RNA (498 nucleotides) under uncultured bacterium. RNAcentral describes it as "partial 16S ribosomal RNA". It matches the Rfam family "Bacterial small subunit ribosomal RNA", at positions 30 to 523 of the family's 1533-position model. The record is from RNAcentral.
AUUGAACGCUGGCGGCAUGCCUUACACAUGCAAGUCGAACGGUAACAGGUCUUCGGAUGCUGACGAGUGGCGAACGGGUGAGUAAUACAUCGGAACGUGCCUAGUAGUGGGGGAUAACUACUCGAAAGAGUGGCUAAUACCGCAUGAGAUCUACGGAUGAAAGCAGGGGAUCGCAAGACCUUGUGCUACUAGAGCGGCCGAUGGCAGAUUAGGUAGUUGGUGGGAUAAAAGCUUACCAGGCCGACGAUCUGUAGCUGGUCUGAGAGGACGAUCAGCCACACUGGGACUGAGACACGGCCCAGACUCCUACGGGAGGCAGCAGUGGGGAAUUUUGGACAAUGGGCGAAAGCCUGAUCCAGCAAUGCCGCGUGCAGGAUGAAGGCCUUCGGGUUGUAAACUGCUUUUGUACGGAACGAAAAGCCCUGGGUUAAUACCCUGGGGUCAUGACGGUACUGUAAGAAUAAGCACCGGCUAACUACGUGCCAGCCGCCGCCGUAA